This 299-nucleotide signal recognition particle RNA is filed under the name Cebus imitator (Panamanian white-faced capuchin). Its description in RNAcentral is "Metazoan signal recognition particle RNA (ENSCCAG00000013825.1)". It matches the Rfam family "Metazoan signal recognition particle RNA". Rfam says of the family: The signal recognition particle (SRP) is a universally conserved ribonucleoprotein. It is involved in the co-translational targeting of proteins to membranes. The eukaryotic SRP consists of a 300-nucleotide 7S RNA and six proteins: SRPs 72, 68, 54, 19, 14, and 9. Lineage: Eukaryota; Metazoa; Chordata; Mammalia; Primates; Cebidae. The record is from RNAcentral.
GCCAGGUGCAGUGGUGCGUGUCUGUAGUCCCAGCUAAUCAGGAGGCUGAGGCUGGAGGAUCACUUGAGCCCAAGAAUUCUGGCCUGUAGUUCACUAUGCGGAUCAGGUGUCCACACUAAGUUCGGCAUCAAUAUGGUGACCUCUUGGGAUCGGGGAAUCACCGGGUUGCCUAAGGAGGGGUGAACUGGCCCAAGUCGGAAACGGAGAAGGUCAAAACUCCCGUGCUGAUCAGUAGUUGGAUUGUGCCUGUGAAAAGCCACUGCACUCCAGCCUGGCCAAUAUAGGGAGACCCCGUCUCU